AACGAACGCCGGCGGCAGGCUUAACACAUGCAAGUCGAGCGGGGUGAUGGUGCUUGCACUAUCACUUAGCGGCGGACGGGUGAGUAAUGCUUAGGAAUCUGCCUAUUAGUGGGGGACAACAUCUCGAAAGGGAUGCUAAUACCGCAUACGUCCUACGGGAGAAAGCAGGGGAUCACUUGUGACCUUGCGCUAAUAGAUGAGCCUAAGUCGGAUUAGCUAGUUGGUGGGGUAAAGGCCUACCAAGGCAACGAUCUGUAGCGGGUCUGAGAGGAUGAUCCGCCACACUGGGACUGAGACACGGCCCAGACUCCUACGGGAGGCAGCAGUGGGGAAUAUUGGACAAUGGGGGGAACCCUGAUCCAGCCAUGCCGCGUGUGUGAAGAAGGCCUUAUGGUUGUAAAGCACUUUAAGCGAGGAGGAGGCUCUUUUGGUUAAUACCCAAGAUGAGUGGACGUUACUCGCAGAAUAAGCACCGGCUAACUCUGUGCCAGCAGCCGCAGUAA
Molecule: ribosomal RNA, 503 nt
Filed under: uncultured bacterium
Lineage: Bacteria
Description: partial 16S ribosomal RNA
Rfam family: Bacterial small subunit ribosomal RNA
Source: RNAcentral